GUGAGUCAUCGAAUCUUUGAACGCACAUUGCGCCCGCCAGUAUUCUGGCGGGCAUGCCUGUCCGAGCGUCAUUUCAACCCUCGAACCCCUCCGGGGGUCCGGCGUUGGGGAUCGGCCCUUUACCGGCCGGCCCCGAAAUACAGUGGCGGUCUCGCCGCAGCCUCUCCUGCGCAGUAGUUUGCACACUCGCACCGGGAGCGCGGCGCGUCCACGUCCGUAAAACACCCAACUUCUGAAAUGUUGACCUCGGAUCAGGUAGGAAUACCCGCUGAACUUAAGCAUAUCAAUAAGCGGAGGA
Molecule: unclassified non-coding RNA, 298 nt
Filed under: Trichoderma sp.
Lineage: Eukaryota; Fungi; Ascomycota; Sordariomycetes; Hypocreales; Hypocreaceae
Description: partial contains 5.8S ribosomal RNA, internal transcribed spacer 2, and large subunit ribosomal RNA
Rfam family: 5.8S ribosomal RNA (bases 1-71)
Source: RNAcentral